Non-coding RNA from Araneus ventricosus, 68 nucleotides. The record is from the annotation of a GenBank genome assembly. NCBI's taxonomy places the organism in Eukaryota, Metazoa, Arthropoda, Arachnida, Araneae, Araneidae.
UCUGCCAUAGCUCAGUGGUUAGAGUACUGUCUUGUAAACUAGGUCGUGAGUUCAACUCACUGGUGGCU